GGAGAAGUAGCUCAGCUUGGUAGAGCACUUGACUUGGGCUCAAGCGGUCGCAGGUUCGAAUCCUGUCUUCUUCACCA
This 77-nucleotide transfer RNA is filed under the name Chlamydia trachomatis. Its description in RNAcentral is "tRNA-Pro(tgg)". It matches the Rfam family "tRNA". Rfam says of the family: Transfer RNA (tRNA) molecules are approximately 80 nucleotides in length. Their secondary structure includes four short double-helical elements and three loops (D, anti-codon, and T loops). The record is from RNAcentral. Lineage: Bacteria; Pseudomonadati; Chlamydiota; Chlamydiia; Chlamydiales; Chlamydiaceae. RNAcentral also lists the same sequence under 37 other names.